This 724-nucleotide ribosomal RNA is filed under the name Issidae aff. Kodaianella sp. MMW-2016. RNAcentral describes it as "eukaryotic LSU rRNA". It matches the Rfam family "Eukaryotic large subunit ribosomal RNA", at positions 1290 to 1870 of the family's 3401-position model. The record is from RNAcentral. Lineage: Eukaryota; Metazoa; Arthropoda; Insecta; Hemiptera; Issidae.
UCACCUGCCGAAGCAACUAGCCCUGAAAAUGGAUGGCGCUCUAGCGUCGUGCCUAUACCGGGCCGUCAACGGCAAAGUGGGCCAGUGAUCUGUCGGUUAACGCCGGCAGGCUUGGCCGUUAAGCCUUGACGAGUAGGAGGCGCGCGACGGUGUGCGCAGAAGGGUCUGGGCGCGAGCCUGCCUGGAGCCGCCGUCGGUGCAGAUCUUGGUGGUAGUAGCAAAUACUCUAGCGAGGGCCUGGAGGGCUGAUGUGGAGAAGGGUUUCUUGUGAACAGCCGUUGCACAAGAGUCAGUCGACCCUAAGCCCUAGGAGAAAUCCGAUGUUGAUGGGCAGCGAUCACGCGGCUGGUUCGGUUGUUGUGCAAGCUGUCGCUUGUGCUCUACUGCCCGCCCACCGACUGCUCCCGUCGGGCGAAAGGGAAUCCGGUUCCUAUUCCGGAACCCGGCUGCGGAACCGUAACUUCGCGGGCACUCGCCUGCGAGCGCUCGUCGGGGUAACCCAAAAUGACCCGGAGACGCCGGCGGGAGGUCUGGAAAGAGUUGUCUUUUCUUUAUAAGCGUUCGAGUUCCCUGGAAUCCUAUAGCAGGGAGAUAGGGUUUGGAACGCGAAGAGCACCGCAGUUGCGGCGGUGUCUGGACCUUCCCCCCGGACCUUGAAAAUCCGGGUGAGGGCUACGCGGAAAUGUCGCGCCGGCUCGUACCCAUAUCCGCAGCAGGUCUCCAA